UGGUUAUAAUAGCAGAGAGGAUACACCUGUUCCCAUUCCGAACACAGAAGUUAAGCUCUCUAGCGCUGAUGGUACUUGGUGGGAAGCUGCCUGGGAGAGUAGGACAUAGCCAGGUG
RNAcentral lists this ribosomal RNA (116 nucleotides) under Clostridioides difficile. The record is from RNAcentral. Lineage: Bacteria; Bacillati; Bacillota; Clostridia; Peptostreptococcales; Peptostreptococcaceae.